GACGAACGCUGGCGGCGUGCUUAACACAUGCAAGUCGAACGGUGACAGAGGAGCUUGCUCCUCUCGAUCAGUGGCGAACGGGUGAGUAACACGUGAGUAACCUGCCCCAGACUCUGGGAUAACAUCGGGAAAUCGGUGCUAAUACCGGAUAUGAGACGAGAUUGCAUGAUCAUCGUCUGGAAAGAUUUAUCGGUCUGGGAUGGACUCGCGGCCUAUCAGCUAGUUGGUGAGGUAAUGGCUCACCAAGGCGACGACGGGUAGCCGGCCUGAGAGGGCGACCGGCCACACUGGAACUGAGAUACGGUCCAGACUCCUACGGGUGGCUG
RNAcentral lists this ribosomal RNA (326 nucleotides) under uncultured Actinomycetes bacterium. RNAcentral's name for it is "bacterial SSU rRNA". It matches the Rfam family "Bacterial small subunit ribosomal RNA", at positions 28 to 351 of the family's 1533-position model. Lineage: Bacteria; Bacillati; Actinomycetota; Actinomycetes. The record is from RNAcentral.